RNAcentral lists this long non-coding RNA (472 nucleotides) under Ananas comosus (pineapple). RNAcentral describes it as "long non-coding RNA (ACOM_LNC015490)". The record is from RNAcentral. Lineage: Eukaryota; Viridiplantae; Streptophyta; Magnoliopsida; Poales; Bromeliaceae.
UAGAGAUGCUCAUCCAAACAAAAAAAUAUUUUGUUUGAGGCAUAUUUUUUUGGGAAAAAAAAGCAAAAUACCAACUUUAUUCAUUUAGCUACCGUUUGGUUCGGAGUUAAGGAAAAACUAGUUAUUCCAGAAAUAAGGUUAAGGUGGGGUUAGAGUAUUUUUGUAUUUGGUUGGAGGUUGAAGUUAGUCUAGGAUAAUAAAAAAUAGUGUUUGGUUGAAGUAGGUAGGAUAAGAAGGAUAGUGGGUUAUUAUGAAUAGAAAAUAAUGUUUGGUUGGGGUUUGGUGGGGUUAGGUGGGAUUAGCUAAUCCGGAAUAACCCAUUUUUAGAAGUGUUUAGGGAUAAAAUGGGGGUUAAGGGGUUAUUCCACCCCUUAACCCCCAACCAAACAGAGGCUUAGGAUAAUGAACUUAGCUAAAGAGGUGAGGCAAUUGAGGCCUUGGGGAAAAAAAAACACAAAACAAAAGGCUUAAA